UGUCGAUGAUGUUGUUUCAAGACGGGACUUACAAGAGAAUGAUUACGCUACGAAACCCUGAGACA
This is a small nucleolar RNA of Ancylostoma ceylanicum, 65 nucleotides long. It matches the Rfam family "Small nucleolar RNA sn668". Lineage: Eukaryota; Metazoa; Nematoda; Chromadorea; Rhabditida; Ancylostomatidae. The record is from Rfam.